UGGGGAAUAUUGUACAAUGGGCGCAAGCCUGAUCCAGCCAUGCCGCGUGAGUGAUGAAGGCCCUAGGGUUGUAAAGCUCUUUCACCGGUGAAGAUAAUGACGGUAACCGGAGAAGAAGCCCCGGCUAACUUCGUGCCAGCAGCCGCGGUAAUACGAAGGGGGCUAGCGUUGUUCGGAUUUACUGGGCGUAAAGCGCACGUAGGCGGACUUUUAAGUCAGGGGUGAAAUCCCGGGGCUCAACCCCGGAACUGCCUUUGAUACUGGAAGUCUUGAGUAUGGUAGAGGUGAGUGGAAUUCCGAGUGUAGAGGUGAAAUUCGUAGAUAUUCGGAGGAACACCAGUGGAGAAGGCGGCUCACUGGACCAUUACUGACGCUGAGGUGCGAAAGCGUGGGGAGCAAACAGG
RNAcentral lists this ribosomal RNA (404 nucleotides) under Actinomycetes bacterium. RNAcentral describes it as "Actinobacteria bacterium partial 16S ribosomal RNA". It matches the Rfam family "Bacterial small subunit ribosomal RNA", at positions 355 to 776 of the family's 1533-position model. The record is from RNAcentral. Lineage: Bacteria; Bacillati; Actinomycetota; Actinomycetes.